Non-coding RNA from Dipodomys ordii (Ord's kangaroo rat), 70 nucleotides. Lineage: Eukaryota; Metazoa; Chordata; Mammalia; Rodentia; Heteromyidae. The record is from Rfam.
GGGAAGGUGGCUCAGUGGUAGAGUGCUUGCCUUGCAUGCUCGAGGCCCUGGGUUCGAUUCCUCAGCCCCA